UACGUAGGGGGCAAGCGUUGUCCGGAAUCAUUGGGCGUAAAGCGCGUGUAGGCGGCUCGGUAAGUCUGCUGUGAAAGUCCAGGGCUCAACCCUGGGAUGCCGGUGGAUACUGUCGAGCUCGAGUCCGGAAGAGGCGAGUGGAAUUCCUGGUGUAGCGGUGAAAUGCGCAGAUAUCAGGAGGAACACCAAUGGCGAAGGCAGCUCGCUGGGACGUGGCUGACGCUGAGACGCGAAAGCGUGGGGAGCAAACAGG
RNAcentral lists this ribosomal RNA (253 nucleotides) under uncultured bacterium. RNAcentral's name for it is "partial 16S ribosomal RNA". It matches the Rfam family "Bacterial small subunit ribosomal RNA", at positions 524 to 776 of the family's 1533-position model. The record is from RNAcentral.